This 445-nucleotide ribosomal RNA is filed under the name uncultured bacterium. Its description in RNAcentral is "bacterial SSU rRNA". It matches the Rfam family "Bacterial small subunit ribosomal RNA", at positions 354 to 796 of the family's 1533-position model. The record is from RNAcentral.
GUGAGGAAUAUUGGGCAAUGCCCGCAAGGGUGACCCAGCAACGCCGCGUGAAGGAUGAAUGCCGUAAGGUUGUAAACUUCUGUUAGAGGGGACGAACAGCUCCGAUCGCAUCGGAGUUUGACGGUACCCUCAGAGAAAGCCCCGGCUAACUACGUGCCAGCAGCCGCGGUAAUACGGAGGGUGCAAGCGUUGUUCGGAUUUAUUGGGCGUAAAGGGCGUGUAGGCGGUUUCAUAAGUCUGAUGUGAAAGCCCCGGGCUCAACCUGGGAAGUGCAUUGGAAACUGUGAGACUUGAGUACGGGAGAGGGCAGUGGAAUUCCCAGUGUAGGAGUGAAAUCCGUAGAUAUUGGGAGGAACACCGGUGGCGAAGGCGGCUGCCUGGACCGAUACUGACGCUGAGACGCGAAAGCGUGGGGAGCAAACAGGAUUAGAAACCCUAGUAGUCC